CGGAGGAUCCGAGCGUUAUCCAGAUUUAUUGGGUUUAAAGGGUGCGCAGGCGGAAGAUUAAGUCGGUGGUGAAAUUUUGCAGCUCAACUGUAAAAGUGCCAUUGAUACUGGUUUUCUUGAGUGUGGAUGAAGUAGGCGGAAUUUGUGGUGUAGCGGUGAAAUGCAUAGAUAUCACGAGGAACUCCGAUUGCGCAGGCAGCUUACUAAACCAUAACUGACGCUCAGGCACGAAGGCGUGGGGAUCAAACAGGGUUAGAUA
This 259-nucleotide ribosomal RNA is filed under the name uncultured prokaryote. Its description in RNAcentral is "partial 16S ribosomal RNA". It matches the Rfam family "Bacterial small subunit ribosomal RNA", at positions 526 to 784 of the family's 1533-position model. The record is from RNAcentral.